Molecule: non-coding RNA, 72 nt
Filed under: Pseudomonas aeruginosa
Lineage: Bacteria; Pseudomonadati; Pseudomonadota; Gammaproteobacteria; Pseudomonadales; Pseudomonadaceae
Source: RNAcentral
AAGCGAAACCGCCCCGGCCUGGCCGGGGCGGUCUGCCCAGCGCGGUGGCUGGGUACUGACGAGCAGCCGAGG